AGGGGGAGGUCGGAUCCUGGGCUGUGUCCCCGGAGCCCUGUGCUCCCGGGCCUGGGCUGUUGGAUUCGAACCCCCGGCUGGGCAGCCCCCU
This 91-nucleotide microRNA precursor is filed under the name Canis lupus familiaris (dog). RNAcentral's name for it is "mir-8799 microRNA precursor family". It matches the Rfam family "mir-8799 microRNA precursor family". Lineage: Eukaryota; Metazoa; Chordata; Mammalia; Carnivora; Canidae. RNAcentral also lists the same sequence under 1 other name. The record is from Rfam by way of RNAcentral.